Molecule: long non-coding RNA, 502 nt
Organism: Musca domestica (house fly)
Lineage: Eukaryota; Metazoa; Arthropoda; Insecta; Diptera; Muscidae
Exons: 3
Source: RefSeq, a predicted model, not a curated record
UUACCUAGGGCGGAAUGCCACUGGAUUCUGGAUUGUGCUUGUCUGGAACAUCGGAAAUGGCCUUAGCUGGUUUUUUUGAAAACUAUAUGCUUGAAGAAAAUGAACUUCCAUUAAAAGUUGCAGCCGUAAGCCGUUGCUUUAGAGCAGAAACAUCUGGAUUAACAGAAGAAAAAGGUAUAUACAGAUAACACCAAAUAAAAAUGCUUGGGUGCAGUCUGGUUUAGCGGACUCAAUCAUUUGGUUUUGUUUGGUGCCCAGAUGCACACAAGAAGAAAAGCAACAAAAACAUUCCUAACAUAAGAAAACAUCUUUGGAUUUGCUUGCUUUGCUAUGCUCUUAAACAAGUUUGUUUGCUUGUUACAACCAAGAACAGAAAACGAAAGAAAUCGAAUUUAUUACCUCUCCAGUAUGUGCACGGCCUCCUAAUUAUUCGAAGAGCUUAUGUAAUUGUCAUGUCAAAAUUCUUAGAAUAAUAAAUUACGAAGCCUACAGUGAUUUUAAA